RNAcentral lists this transfer RNA (739 nucleotides) under uncultured Synechococcus sp. RNAcentral's name for it is "16S-23S ribosomal RNA intergenic spacer". The stretch from base 267 to 339 matches the Rfam family "tRNA". Lineage: Bacteria; Bacillati; Cyanobacteriota; Cyanophyceae; Synechococcales; Synechococcaceae. The record is from RNAcentral.
CAGGGAGACAAACAUCGAUUUUGAUGCCUGAGUGUUUUUAUUCUUAGGCCAGAAUCCUGUCACCUUAGGUCGAUCGGUACCUCAGUUUUGAAGCUAAGAAUCAAUCAAAAGUUGAUUGCUUGGUGAAUUAAUUCAGUUCCUAAACUUUGUCUAGGUCACACCCCACAAGGGUUGAGUUUUCCUGGGCCAUUAGCUCAGGUGGUUAGAGCGCACCCCUGAUAAGGGUGAGGUCCCUGGUUCAAGUCCAGGAUGGCCCAUUCGGUGUUGGGGGUUUAGCUCAGUUGGUAGAGCGCCUGCUUUGCAAGCAGGAUGUCAGGAGUUCGAGUCUCCUAACCUCCACUGACCGAACUCAAUCUCCAGCUCUGCUUUUUGGAGAGCCACUCGAUGAUGGUGUAUGAUUUAGAUCGUGUCCGCUGGAAAGAUCCCAGCUUCCUGUCAUUCCUUAAUGGUUGAUAAGAUGCUGGGCUCAAGCAAUUUUGGUUUCAAAAUUGUUUUUGUCUGGCAGAACCUUGACAACUGCAUAGGUGAGUCUGGAAAAAAACAAAGCAUCUCAUGGAUGCAUUGUUUUGGUCUUGAGAUCUCAGAUUUCAAGUUCCAGAAUAAUGAAAAUUCUUUUGAGCAAGAGCCGAGACUCUGAAAUGUUCUUCUAAUCGUGUCGAGCGAUUCGGAGUUUGAUCUUUUUUUCUUUUAGAAAAUUAGAAAAUCUGUCUCACACAGUAAGCAGUUCAGAGAUUAUUUG